This is a non-coding RNA of Callithrix jacchus (white-tufted-ear marmoset), 3067 nucleotides long. The record is from RefSeq and is a predicted model, not a curated record. NCBI's taxonomy places the organism in Eukaryota, Metazoa, Chordata, Mammalia, Primates, Cebidae.
GAGGCAGAGGUUACAGUGAGUCGAGAUCAUGCCACUGCACUCCAACCUGGUAACAGAGCAAGACUCCAUCUCAAAAAAUAACAAAAAACCUUCUCCAGGCAGCUGCCUUCUGAUGAUGCCCCCCUCCCCAGGUGAAACGUGGGAGACCCCGAACUCCUGCCUGACCCUAAAGUGCCAUGUGACCCUGCCCCCACACUACUCUGGCCACACUGAUUGUCCUCUGAGUCACGCUGCUCCCUGUGCCUGGGUUUUUGCUGUUCCUUGUCUCAAACCCUCCCCUCCCUCUUUUUGCCUCCAUCUCAUCCUCUGCCUGCCCAGCACCCACCUCCUGGUCAUUUAAGGUGUAGCUCAGGCCAUAAUCCCAGCACUUUAGGAGGCCAGGGCCAGAGGAUCACUUCAUCCCAAAAGCUUGAGGCCAACCUGGGCAACAUAGUGAGACCCUCCCUAACUCCACAAAAGAUGUGAAAGAUGUAGCUCAGGCAUUACCUACCUCCAGGUAGCCUUCCUGAUGGUGCCAUCCCCAGGUGGGCUCAGGGGCAGCCUCUUCUCUGGGCAUCAGGAGCUGCCUCUCAGUGGUCGCAGGUCAGCUCCUGCAGGAGUCCAGGCACAGGAUGACAGUGGAUGGAUCAGGACUUGAGGGUCAGAGAUGCGGAGAGGCAGACAGCUUUGGGACGCAGUUGGCGGGAUCAGUGGGAUUUGCUGCAGGGUGACUGUCAGGGUGUAGGGGAGAAUUCCGGACCAGCCGUGUCUUCAUCUCUCUCUUCCCUCCAAUCCCAGGAAAGCAAACAAAACAGAAGGACUUGCGGACCCGACUCACCAGCUCCAUCCUCAGGAACUCGAGGACCAUCAAGUGCCAUGGCUGCGAGGGAGCCUUUCUGGACAGAGUCCUGUGCAUCCGAGCUCCUAUGAAUAACGCUGUGCCGAGACCAGCUCAGCCUCGGAGACCCCAACUUAUGUGGCACUGAAGGAAUUAAGAAACAGACACGGAGAUAGCAAAAGGUGGGUACAGAGUGGAGCACCAGGGGUCUCACAGCAUUUCCAGCUGAGAGUUCAGAGCAGACUCUGACCUAUGUAUUUAUUCUUGACUUUCCAGUGACAAGUUUUACAAGCAGAUGCUCUCUGCUCUUUCAUUGGUUAAAGGUAAACUAACCAGGCAGCUCGUGUGUGUUUACUAUAGGUUAAAGACAAACUAGAAAGCGCUCUUUACAAGGGAACAAAGGAAAGGGUCACACAUCCUGUGUUCACAGAGCUAAUUCAUCUGGCGUGAGGCAUAAUUAUACUGGAUACUGUGUUAUAGUGCUCUGAGCAGUUUGCUGCUUUGGGGGCAGUUUUCCACUUUGGGUGGCCGACUAGGUUUCCCUUGCCGCCUCUCUCAAUAGGAUUUCUCAGCAAACAAUAUGAUUUCUCACACAUGUCAGAAUUUGCUCUCAACAACCCUGCUAUGAACAUCAGUGUAUAAAUGUGUGAGGCCCUUUGAAUUGUAGAGAGUACACACCCAGAAGUGGAAAUGCUGGAUUAUAUGGUAAUCCUUGUUUUGAGACAGAGUCUCGCUCUCUCACCCAGGCUGUAAUGCAGUGGUACAGUCUUGGCUGACUGCAACCUCUGGCUCCUGGGUUCAAGCAAUUCUUAACCCUCAGCCUCCCGAGUAGCUGGGAUUACAGGCCUGCACCGCCACGCGUGGCUAGUUUGUUUUUAGUAGAGAUGGAUUUCACCACAUUGGCCAGACUGGUCUUGAACUCCUAGCCUCAAGUGAUUCACCUGCCCCGGCCUCACAAAGUGCUGGGAUUACAAGUGUGUGUCACCACGCCUGGCCUGUUUUUAACUUUUUGAUGAAAAGUUUAAACACUGUUUUCCAUAGCUAAGCUCCAUUUUAAAUUCCCAGUAAGAGUACACACGGCUUCCAAUAGCUCAGCAUUCUCGCUAACACUUUAUUUUCUGUAUGGAUUACAACCAUCCUAAUAAGACUGAGGUGGCCUCUCCAUGUAGGUCUUCUUUCUUUUCUUUUUUUGAGAUGGAGUCUCGCUCUGUAAUUCAGGCUACAGUGCAGCGGUUACAAUCUUGGCUCACUGCAAUCUCCACCUCCCCGGUUCAAGCAAUUCUCCUGCCUCAGCCUCCUGAGCGUCUGGGACUUCAGGCACAUGGCACCACACCCAGGCACUAGGUGGAAGGAUCACAUGAAGUCAGGAGUUCGAGACAGCCUGGCCAACAUGGUGAAACCCCGUCUCUACUAAAAAUACAAAAACAUGGUGGUGGAUGCCUGUAAUACCAACUACUUGGGAGGCUGCACACUGUACUCCAGCCUGGAGGACAGAGCAAGAUCCUGUCUCAAAAAGAUUCUCCAACCUUCCCGUGGAGCCACACCACCUCCUGUCUUGGCACUUCAUGAGUCCAAUGCUGUUUCCCGAGAGGAUCUGGUUGGUAGACCGUGACCUCGAUUCCUGCCUCUAAGCCUAGCUUUAUUCUCAGCAGCCACCACCUUUUUGGUACUAGAACAGUGCUUUUUAUAGUGCACUCAUCAGUGGAUGCUGAAAUCACAACCUGGCCAUUUGGAUGUUCAACUAAUGCUCUAUGCUGCAGAGUCCCUGCAACUCACCAACCUGUGCCGGAACUCACUGGAGCUCAGGUGUGUAGCAUUACCUUGUUUCUCUAUGGCUGGGAGUGCAAACAUUAUUGAUGUGUUUAUUUCCCAUUUUUUACUUUGGAGGUUUUGUUUUGUGAGACAAGCUCUCACUCUGUCAUGCAGCCAGGAGUGUAGUCAUGGCUCACUGCAGCCUUGACCUCCCGGGUUCAAGCCAUCUCGCCUCAGCCUCACAAAGUGCUGGGAAUACAAGUGUGGCCUACUUUUGAGCUUUGAGUUAUUUAUGUAUUGUAGACAUGAGUCUCUGGAGAUGCGUUCUUGGUCUGAUGGGGGUUUGUAAACAUUUUUCCCAAUCUGUAGCUUAUCUCUUCAUCCUCCUAAUUGAGUCUUUCAGAGAGCAAAAAUGUGGUCUCCCUUGAAGAUACUCUGCACCUGUAGCAGGAAAGCAGACACAGACAGUACAUAAAUGAACAUGUGGAUGUCCCUUGA